GCCACACAGGGCAUGGUGCUGGUGAAGAAGUCAGGUUUCUCCAUGUGGGACGCCAGCAACCACAGACUGCCUCUCAAAUAAAGAACCUGGAACCUUCAUGCUGAGAAUGCACUCUCUUUCCCUUCCUGAUAAAGAAGGCUCCUGCUCUGGGCCAAGAAAUCCCAAAACACAAUAGUGUUCUCAGGGCACAGGAUUGUAUGGCUCCACACCCUACAGGGUCUCACUUGGUUGCCCAGGCUGGAAAGCAAUGGCACAAUCUUGGCUCACUGCAACCUGUGCCUCCUAGGUUCAAGCUAUUCUCCUGCCUCAGCCUUCCAAAUAGCUGGGAUUACAGGCACAUGCCACCACAACCAGGGUCUUAAAACAUAAAUGAUAGUCUGUGGGCGGUUUAUUCUCUCCAUUUCUUCUCAUGAAGGACCAAGGAGUUGAACUGAAGCCUGAGCGUCUGUAUAAGCUUUUCCCCAUGCUGCUCUUUUUUGCAAACACCAACACAAUUUGGGCUCCAUUUAUAAGGCAUCUGCUGCACCAACCCUCUUUCUUGGUGCUUACUGGACCUGCUCAGGGUUAAUUUCUAACUCAAAGAACCUAACUUGGAGUAACUCCGUACCACCAGCAAAGCGACUGGCUUUGGGGAAUGACAUUUACAAUGUAUCCACUGUUAUUUGGUCACCCAGCAAACUGUCAUUUUUCAGAAACCAGGGCUGUCUCACAAACUGGCUUUCAAUAAGGUGGGUUGCUUAGCAACUGCCAAGG
Molecule: long non-coding RNA, 753 nt
Organism: Homo sapiens (human)
Lineage: Eukaryota; Metazoa; Chordata; Mammalia; Primates; Hominidae
Source: Ensembl